CAUUGAAAAUGGCACCUGAUUCAAAUAAAAGGUUAAUACAUUUGCCAUUAAUUGUUGUUUGCUUGUUUAUAAUAUCCAUAAUUAAUUUAAACCUGAUUUCCUUACAGAAACAACAGGGAUCUCAGAAACUUUGCCUGCACCGUCCAGUAAAGUUACUGAAUCGAUUUCAAGUCACUGAAUCGAGUCGUUCUAAAUUAACCCACAUCGUCCAUGAAUCGAAUCGUUGUUAAGAUGAAUUGUUACACCUCCAGUGAUUAGGAGAACCCAAAAUGACAGCACCUCAUCUUGUACAAGAUCUUUUCUCUUCAUCGUGAGAUCUUUCAUUGAAAGGUCUAUACUCAUAAUCACGUUGUGAGGUGAAUUAUCUUUUCCUAAUCAAAUAAUAAAUAUUUAGUAAUGCUACCAAAUGUACCCAGUGGAGUCUCCUGUGAGUAUCUAUACUCGCUCGACUCGUUGUCAUGGGAUGCAAAGUGCCGCCACAGAGAGCAACUCAUUGGAGCUGGUUAAGUUGCUGUGCUGGGCCGUCAUUAGUCUCCAUGGAGGUAAUGAGAGGAGACGAGGUCUUUAAGACCUGGAGGGGUUCUGAGCUUUUACCGGCUGUGCCGACUAACGGCUUUUCUUCUGAACAAUCCAGUGCAAUAAAAAAAACUGGAAAAUCCAUUAAAGCUUUAGAGAAGAAAUGGCUGAGGAGGCCUGAGGUAUUUGAAGGCUACUUUACAUAAAACUGCUAAAAGAGGGAUUGGGGAUUAUGUCGGGUCUGUCCACGGUGCACUGGUCUCUGCUGGAGGAUCUGGGUCUGUCCACAGUGGACUGGUCUCUGCUGGAGGAUCUGGGUCUGUCCACGGUGGACUGGUCUCUGCUGGAGGAUCUGGGUCUGUCCACGGUGGACUGGUCUCUGCUGGAGGAUCUGGGUCUGUCCACGGUGGACUGGUCUCUGCUGGAGGAUCUGGGUCUGUCCACGGUGGACUGGUCUCUGCUGGAGCUUGUGGGUCUGUCCACAGUGGACUGGUCUCUGCUGGAGGAUGAGUCAAACAGACCAUAAACCUGCUUUAGGGCGGGGCUACACGUUGAUUGACAGGUCUACUUCUGAUUCACAAUUUGAGGCAAAAUAUCUGAAACUUUCCGCCCCCAUUAAGAUAUUUCCAGACCUCCUGCAGUGAAUCAAUCAGACACGUUUCGUUGAGCUAAAAUGUGGAUUUUGUCCGUCUGUCUGAAUCCCCGAGCGACGGACGCCCGUCACACUGGGAGAAAUCUACCCGAGAACACGCGCUGCGAACAAUUUUCUCCCUCCGCAUGGGGUGAGGAGAGGGACCAGAAUGCAGUGCGGCGUCAGCGUCUUGUUAAUAAUGUGUGAAAAAUGCAGACGACCUCUCCAGUGACAUUCGCGCCAUUUGCAGAGAAGAGAAGCCAGCGGCCUUUGGGUCACCGUGAAGCGCUUGUUUUACUCUUCCAUUAGGAUUCCACCACAAACACUUGUGUCUUUUGUGUCUUUUGUGUCUUGCGUGCGUUUACUAAACCAGGUGCUCGUCGAUAGGCGGAGGACCUGCUGUCACCUGUGAUCAGGGUGAUGGAGCAGAACCUGGGCCACGAGGGUCACCGCGGCAUCACGAAAACCAAUAUCUGUGUUUGCUGGUCGAGGGAAACUCGUUUUUUGCUAUUUUCCUUGCAAACUACUCCCAUCAGGCCGAGUUUCUCCAGUCAUGCAAAGCCGCACUGGGCCGUGUUUAUCUAAUCUAAGUGGUUCUCGCACCAUUCUGGCAAAAGGAAUUAGCGCUCAGAUGCGCCGAUCUGUCUUUGUUAUGAUCAAUCCUUGUGGUAGCGUGUUGGGGGACAGCCAGCCAAUCAGAGAGCCCCUGGAGAGCAGCUGAGGAGCUCCGUCCUCACUGGAUACCAGCAGAGACGAGACCGCUCCACUGACCCGGAGGAGUCUCCGCUUCCUCUCCUUCAUCGCUCCUUCUUCUGCUUCCUGUAUCCGCGCGGCUCUUAUUGGUUCACGUUCCUGCGCAGAUCAAAAGACAUCGAGAGCUUUCAAUAUUCCACCAAUCUGCUUGGAAACAGACAAAGGGUCUCGACAGUCUGUGGGAAUCCAUUUUAGAUCUCAGGAACAAAUUACAAAAAGAAGAAAAGAUGUGGUAAAUAAAUACAUUAGUCUGCGAGAUAUUGACUGAAUCUCUCUACAAAGCCUAAGUAAUUAUAAUUAUACACAAUGAUGUACAAUUUGAACAUCAUUAAACUGGAAUUUAAUGGAUCUUUGCAAAAGUCACCCCUCGUUUUUCAAAUAUAUCCCAAGAAAGUCCAGCAUCAAGUGUCACAGCCGGGUUACGUGCGUGUGAUCUUUUCAAAGUGAACUUCUGUCUUCACAGGAAACUCAUAAAUACUACAUUUAGUGUCACCUGUUGAAAGAUGGUUGUAUAAGGAAGCCGUGGUAGAGAGGCCUGUCAAUCAGUGAGUAGCCCCGCCCUAAAGCAUCCCCUGCUGUAUGGUCUAUUAGGUGACCUGUCAAUCAGCGUGUAGCCCCGCCCUAAAGCAUAACCCGCUUUAUGGUCUAUUAGGUGACCUGUCAAUCAGCGUAUAGCCCCGCCCUAAAGCAUAACCCGCUUUAUGGUCUAUUAGGUGACCUGUCAAUCAGUGAGUAGCCCCGCCUUAAAGCAUCCCCUGCUGUAUGGUCUAUUAGGUGACCUGUCAAUCAGUGUGUAGCCCCGCCCUAAAGCAUCCCCUGCUGUAUGGUCUGUUUCACUGAAAAUGGACCAUAAUUUACUGAGCAAAUUUUACGGUUUGAUAGAAAACACUUCCGGUUGGAUAUACGAAGGUGCCCUUGGGCAAGGCAGCACGAAGCUUCCCUUGUUCCCCGCUCUGUGCAUGUCUAUUUCAGGCUUUAAAGAAAAACUAAAUCCCCCCUGAAGGGAUUAAAACGUUUCCUCCUCCUCCUCCUCGUUCACCUCCGCCUCCUCCUCCUCCUCUUCCUCCUCUUUCUCUACUUCUUCGGGCUCUUGUUGCAUUCACGACCGCCUCCAGAGACAAAACGUGACUUUGCUGCUCUGAUAAACAGACCACAGUGAGGCGACACGCGACAGACGGGAAAUAACAGGUCCACGUGGAACACGCCGUCUGCCCGGUGGCGCCCGGGCUGCCGGCGUGUUCCACGUGCGACGUUCAAACCCUCACCGAGCCAACUCAGACAUCCGGGAGACGAGCGCUUCCUCCGCGGGGGGGGGAAGGAAUCCAUGACGGCUUCAGAUUCCUUCAAUGUGACUUUGAGUCCUCUCAGUCACACCUGUGCGAGCAGAUGCUGUCAGGGCACGAAGAUGGCGUGAGUGGCUGUCACAGCGUGAGCUCAAAUAUUCUCAUUUGACAGUGGCGGGAGGCAAUCAUCCCUCACACACACACAGACACACACACACACACACACACACACACAGCCACACACACAGACAGACACACACAGACACACACACACGUGGCAGUAAUCUCUGCGCUGACAUGACCGCUUCAAUCUGCCUCUUGGCCCUCGGGCCUCCGCAGCAGAGCUGAUUCAAUUUGCCACCCAUCAAAAUGCAAUUUUUCAGCUUCGCCAUCCCCGCUCUCCUCCUCCUCCUCCUCCUCC
This is a long non-coding RNA of Gasterosteus aculeatus aculeatus (three-spined stickleback), 3604 nucleotides long. The record is from Ensembl. Lineage: Eukaryota; Metazoa; Chordata; Actinopteri; Perciformes; Gasterosteidae.